RNAcentral lists this ribosomal RNA (491 nucleotides) under uncultured bacterium. Its description in RNAcentral is "partial 16S ribosomal RNA". It matches the Rfam family "Bacterial small subunit ribosomal RNA", at positions 28 to 507 of the family's 1533-position model. The record is from RNAcentral.
GAUGAACGCUGGCUACAGGCUUAACACAUGCAAGUCGAGGGGAAACGCCGGGGAAGCUUGCUUCCCCGGGCGUCGACCGGCGCACGGGUGAGUAACGCGUAUCCAACCUGCCUCUGACUGAGGGAUAACCCGUCGAAAGUCGGCCUAAUACCUCAUGGCAUCGUCUGCGGGCAUCCAACGACGAUUAAAGAUUUCAUCGGUCAGGGAUGGGGAUGCGUCUGAUUAGCUUGUUGGCGGGGUAACGGCCCACCAAGGCUACGAUCAGUAGGGGUUCUGAGGGGAAGGUCCCCCACAUUGGAACUGAGACACGGUCCAAACUCCUACGGGAGGCAGCAGUGAGGAAUAUUGGUCAAUGGGCGGGAGCCUGAACCAGCCAAGUAGCGUGCAGGAUGACGGCCCUAUGGGUUGUAAACUGCUUUUAGGCGGGGAUAAAGUGAGGGACGUGUCCUUCAUUGCAGGUACCGCAUGAAUAAGGACCGGCUAAUUCCGUG